Molecule: ribosomal RNA, 496 nt
Filed under: uncultured bacterium
Lineage: Bacteria
Description: partial 16S ribosomal RNA
Rfam family: Bacterial small subunit ribosomal RNA
Source: RNAcentral
GAUGAACGCUGGCGGCGUGCCUAACACAUGCAAGUCGAGCGAACGGACGAGAAGCUUUCCUCUCUGACGUUAGCGGCGGACGGGUGAGUAACACGUGGAUAACCUACCUAUAAGACUGGGAUAACCUCGGGAAACCGGAGCUAAUACCGGCUAAUCUUCUGAACCGCAAGGUUCAAAAGUGAAAGACGGUUUUGCUGCCACUUAUAGAUGGAUCCGUGCUGCAUUAGCUAGUUGGUAAGGUAACGGCUUACCAAGGCAACGAUUCUUAGCCGACUUGGGAGAUUGAGAGCCACAAUGGAACCUGAGAAAGGGGCCGAAUCCCGACGGGAGGCACAAGGAGGGAGACUUCCGAAGUGGGCGAAGGCCGGAGGGAGCAACGCGGGGGGAUUAAUGAAGCUCUCCGGUUGGUAAAUCCCUUUAGUUAGGGAAGAACAAGUAUAUAUGUAACCGUGCCCAUUUGGAGGAUCCCGAAUCAGAAGACCACGGCGAACUCCGU